AACGAACGCUGGCGGCAGGCCUAACACAUGCAAGUCGAACGCCCUAGCAAUAGGGAGUGGCAGACGGGUGAGUAACACGUGGGAACCUUCCCUAUAGUACGGAAUAGCUCAGGGAAACUUGAAGUAAUACCGUAUACGCCCGAGAGGGGAAAGAUUUAUCGCUAUAGGAUGGGCCCGCGUCGGAUUAGCUAGUUGGUGAGGUAAUGGCUCACCAAGGCGACGAUCCGUAGCUGGUUUGAGAGAACGACCAGCCACACUGGGACUGAGACACGGCCCAGACUCCUACGGGAGGCAGCAGUGGGGAAUAUUGGACAAUGGGCGCAAGCCUGAUCCAGCCAUGCCGCGUGAGUGAUGAAGGCCUUAGGGUUGUAAAGCUCUUUUAGCAGGGAAGAUAAUGACUGUACCUGCAGAAUAAGCUACCGGCUAACUUCGUGCCAGCAGCCGCGGUAAU
This 451-nucleotide ribosomal RNA is filed under the name uncultured bacterium. RNAcentral describes it as "bacterial SSU rRNA". It matches the Rfam family "Bacterial small subunit ribosomal RNA", at positions 29 to 524 of the family's 1533-position model. The record is from RNAcentral.